This 406-nucleotide ribosomal RNA is filed under the name uncultured bacterium. Its description in RNAcentral is "partial 16S ribosomal RNA". It matches the Rfam family "Bacterial small subunit ribosomal RNA", at positions 30 to 526 of the family's 1533-position model. The record is from RNAcentral.
AUUGAACGCUGGCGGCAGGCCUAACACAUGCAAGUCGAACGAGUGGCGGACGGGUGAGUAAUGUAUGGGAAACUGCCUGAUGGAGGGGGAUAACUACUGGAAACGGUAGCUAAUACCGCAUACCAUCGGAUGUGCCCAGAUGGGAUUAGCUAGUAGGUGGGGUAAAGGCUCACCUAGGCGACGAUCCCUAGCUGGUCUGAGAGGAUGACCGGCCACACUGGAACUGAGACACGGUCCAGACUCCUACGGGAGGCAGCAGUGGGGAAUAUUCGACAAUGGGCGCAAGCCUGAUGCAGCAAUGCCGCGUGUAUGAAGAAGGCCUUCGGGUUGUAAAGUACUUUCAGCGGGGAGGCGUUACCCGCAGAGAAAGCACCGGCUAACUCCGUGCCAGCAGCCGCGGUAAUAC